RNAcentral lists this unclassified non-coding RNA (200 nucleotides) under Hevea brasiliensis (rubber tree). The record is from RNAcentral. Lineage: Eukaryota; Viridiplantae; Streptophyta; Magnoliopsida; Malpighiales; Euphorbiaceae.
GAGGAAGCCAGUGGUGCGACAGGUGAAGGUGCGGCGGAGGCGCAGCCAGUGAGGAUGUCAUUAAUGGACUUGUUAGAGGAGACAGAUAGGCAAAUGGGAUUUGAGGGGUCCAGGUACAUAAUGGGAGAUGAGGAUGAGGAAUGCGAAGAAGAAGAUGAUGAUGAAGAUGGAGCGGACGGUGGUGAUGGGAUAGAGCACAC